GCCGACGCCCUGGCCGCCACCGUGCGCCGUGCCAGCGAGGUGUUUGCGGGCGGCCGCUACCCCGAGAUGGUGGCCAACUGCAUCAGCCAGGACCUGUCCUGGUCCAAGCCCGCCCAGAAGUGGGAGGGCCUGCUGGAGGAGGUGGUGUACGGCAAGGGCGGCGUGGCCACCGCCAAGAAGGAGGAGAUCAAGGUGCCCGUUGCCGAGAAGAUCCCCGGCGACCUGCCCGCCGUGUCCUACGCCCCCAACACCCUGAAGCCCGUGUCCGCCUCCGUGGAGGGCAACGGCGCCGCCGCGCCCAAGGUCGGCACCACCGCCCCCGCCAUGGGCGCGUGGCGCGCGACCACCCCCUCGGGCCCCUCGCCCGCCGCCGCCACCCCCAAGGUGACCACCUACAAGCCCGCCCUGCCCGCCACCGCCAAGCCCAAGACCGCUGGCCUCAAGCUGGCCGGUGAGGCCUCCACCACCUCGACCUCGGAGAACGGCGCUGCCUCCAACGGCAACGGCAACGGUGCCUCGGCCUCCAAGACCUCGGCUGCCAAGCCCCUGGUCUCCGCCGCCACCCGC
Molecule: long non-coding RNA, 567 nt
Filed under: Chlamydomonas reinhardtii
Lineage: Eukaryota; Viridiplantae; Chlorophyta; Chlorophyceae; Chlamydomonadales; Chlamydomonadaceae
Description: long non-coding RNA (CREI_LNC001342)
Source: RNAcentral